AACGCACAUUGCGCCCUUUGGUAUUCCGAAGGGCAUGCCUGUUCGAGCGUCAUUGCAAAACCUCAAGCACCGCUUGGUCUUGGGCGCCGGUCCCCGUGGACCCGCCCGUAACCUGUUGGCGGCACCGUCCGGCUCUAAGCGUAGCAAGAAUCUUCCCUCGCUUCGGAGCUCGCGGCGGCGCCUGCCGGGAAAGCAAAGCAACCUCGUAGUUUGACCUCGGAUCAGGUAGGGAUACCCGCUGAACUUAA
Molecule: unclassified non-coding RNA, 248 nt
Filed under: uncultured fungus
Lineage: Eukaryota; Fungi
Description: partial contains 5.8S ribosomal RNA, internal transcribed spacer 2, and large subunit ribosomal RNA
Rfam family: 5.8S ribosomal RNA (bases 1-52)
Source: RNAcentral